GAUAAAUGUUGCGAUUCAGACGCUAGUUACCGAAAAUAAGCCCAAGCAUUUAUAGAUGAUAUCACAUAUUGACGAUCCCAGUUUGGGACAUAGAGGUCGCUUCUCUUUGGCUCACGUGGAUUGGCAAUAUUCCUUCCUAAUGAAGAUUGUAAGCGGCCGUAUUCAUCUAACGGAAUUUACUCCCGGUAAAAAACCGAACUUUUGGCACGUUACCAAAAGUGAUGGAGUUGACCUACCGAGGUUAUAAAAGGAACUCACUAUAAACGACUACCCGACCAGCUCCCUCCUACAGCUCACAAUCUACUAUCAAGGGCAUUCCAUACCGCCAGGCCUUCAUUACCAGGAUCAUGGAGAUAGCCUUGCUGCGCAAGGCGGGUGCUCCGGACAACUUACCAUCAUCAACGUAACGUGCCAAUCAUUCUGUUAUGGAACGCGCCAUUUCAUAAGUAUUCAUUCUUUGUUUCGAGAGGAAGGAUUGCCGAUUGUCAGUAACUGAUUCACGUUAGAGAAAACUCAUAAAGCUUCAAUAACAAUCAAAUGUGACUUGUCGGUGCUGCGUUGAUGUGAGGAUGGUGAACCCGACUUCCUAGAGGUAGGCAGGCAUGUUUAUGAAUAAACGGCGCGGACAAGCACGUCCGCUCACAGCAACAGAUUAGUCAAGAAGUGGCGUAAAAAGAGACAGAAAC
Argiope bruennichi is the source of this 686-nucleotide long non-coding RNA. RefSeq lists it as uncharacterized. The record is from RefSeq and is a predicted model, not a curated record. The transcript has 3 exons. NCBI's taxonomy places the organism in Eukaryota, Metazoa, Arthropoda, Arachnida, Araneae, Araneidae.